This 200-nucleotide ribosomal RNA is filed under the name uncultured prokaryote. Its description in RNAcentral is "partial 16S ribosomal RNA". It matches the Rfam family "Bacterial small subunit ribosomal RNA", at positions 1182 to 1382 of the family's 1533-position model. The record is from RNAcentral.
AUGUCAAAUCAUCAUGCCCCUUAUGUCUUGGGCUACACACGUGCUACAAUGGCUCGUACAAAGUGACGCAAUAUCGCGAGAUGGAGCAAAUCACGAAAACGAGUCUCAGUUCGGAUUGCAGGCUGCAACCCGCCUGCAUGAAGUUGGAAUCGCUAGUAAUCGCAGAUCAGCACGCUGCGGUGAAUACGUUCCCGGGUCUU